AAACCAUGAUGGGGUGGCAUAGGGUGGUCCCGUCGGCAAGAGACAUCCACUUAACGUAUGCUUGCAAUAAGUGCGAGUGAAAGGAAUAGUAUUCUGAGUGUCG
RNAcentral lists this non-coding RNA (103 nucleotides) under Drosophila melanogaster (fruit fly). Lineage: Eukaryota; Metazoa; Arthropoda; Insecta; Diptera; Drosophilidae. The record is from RNAcentral.